UGAAUCGUUCAUUUGAACGGUUUUACUUUAAUUUCUUGUCAAUACUGUAGUAAUUUCUUAGUAUUCAGCAUUCAGAUUUCUUCAAGUAUUGAGUGCGUACAACAUAUUCUUAAAAGAACAUCGUAUUUUGAGUUAGACGACCAAAGAAAGUCGUGAAACGGCAUUAGGAGCCGGACCACUGUGUGAACUGCUGGAGAAGAGCUGCAUACAUGCCGGACGCUCAUUUGGUGUUUUACUGAACGUCUAAUAUGGGUUCGAAACAUCGUGACGAAGACAAAGUCAUACAAGUGGAACAACAAGACAAUGAACUAUUUCUUUUGCAGCUGAAUCAUUAUCCCUGCCAUUGCUUUACUAAAGAGACAUUCUUGCUGCAUAUGAUGCCAUCAUGCAGAUCAACGCUGGAAGCGCUUGUUCCUAUCCCAUGUUCC
This is a long non-coding RNA of Labeo rohita (rohu), 428 nucleotides long. RefSeq lists it as uncharacterized. The record is from RefSeq and is a predicted model, not a curated record. The transcript has 4 exons. Lineage: Eukaryota; Metazoa; Chordata; Actinopteri; Cypriniformes; Cyprinidae.